RNAcentral lists this ribosomal RNA (254 nucleotides) under uncultured bacterium. Its description in RNAcentral is "partial 16S ribosomal RNA". It matches the Rfam family "Bacterial small subunit ribosomal RNA", at positions 524 to 776 of the family's 1533-position model. The record is from RNAcentral.
UACAGAGGUCCCAAGCGUUGUUCGGAUUCAUUGGGCGUAAAGGGUGCGUAGGCGGCGCGGUAAGUCGGGUGUGAAAUCUCGGAGCUUAACUCCGAAACUGCAUUCGAUACUGCCGUGCUUGAGGACUGGAGAGGAGACUGGAAUUUACGGUGUAAGCGGUGAAAUGCGUAGAUAUCGUAAGGAAGACCAGUGGCGAAGGCGGGUCUCUGGACAGUUCCUGACGUGAGGCACGAAGGUCAGGGGGAGCAAACGGG